UCAGAAAGAUGCCCCAUAUUUAUCCUGUGC
Molecule: non-coding RNA, 30 nt
Filed under: Homo sapiens (human)
Lineage: Eukaryota; Metazoa; Chordata; Mammalia; Primates; Hominidae
Source: RNAcentral